UGAAUUUAGAAUAUCAUCAAGUGACUUAAAAUUAAUAAGGCACUGUUUUCAGUGGAUGAACCGACAUCAUGCAGUGUGACAGGAAAACGCCCGUGAGACCAAAGAUGGCUUAGAUAAAAGGGAAGACGAUGCAGAAGCCUCUGUACCAGAGAAAAAUCCAGAGAUGGCCCUCGAAGAAGUUAGAAACAAGAUGAGAGACCGUCUCAAGUUGUUUAGGUCUGGAGCCACCUUCCCCCACCCACGAGUCGAAGAAAUAGAUCUUUGAACCAGGUUACCCGUGACAUCAAGAUAAACAAAAUUCAACUUCAGGGACAAUUUGAUAAUACCUGUUUAAAAAUUUUUUUUUAGCUCACCUGGGCCGAAGGUUCAAGUGAGCUUUUUUGAUCAAAAUUUGUUCGUUGUGUGUCGUCGGCGAAAACUUUUCACAUUUUCAUCUUCUCCAGAACCACUGGGUCAAUUUCAACCAAACUAAGUGACACAAAGCACCCUUGGGUGAAAGGCUUUCAAGUUUGUUCAAAUGAAGGGCCAUGCCCCUUCAAAGGGGAGAUAAUCGCAAAAAUACGGUGGGGUCAUUCAAAAAUCUUCUCAAGAACCACUGGGACAGAGAAGCUGAAAUUUACAUGAAAGCCUCCUGACAUAGUACAGAUUCAAGUUUGUUAAAACCAAUGACCUUGGGGGGGGGGGGGGGGGGGGGGUUGGAUUGGGUCUCAAUAGGGGAUCAAAGUUUUACUUACAAAUAUACAGGGAAAAUCUUUAUGAAAAUUGUCUUCUCAAGAAACACUUGGCCAGAAAAGCUGAGAUUUACAUGAAAGCUUCCCGACAUAGUGUAGACUCAAGUUUGUAAAAUUCACAGGGUUGUCACUAACGCAAGAAUAGGAUCACAGAAAUUUCAUUGGGGUUUGUCUGAUAUGGCGAGUCCCGCAGACGUGUCUCGGACUCUGAGUAAAAAUCAUAAUUUUACUUAGAAGCCCUGAUUUGUGUAUUAAUUAAAACUCAUAGGAAAAAAUCUAGGUAAAAACGUUACGCUCUAAUGUGAACCGAGAUGAUACCACCGAGUUCACACUGUCCCAAUCUGACUUGUUUGUUUAGUGCAGUCAAUUAGGUGCAAAUUAGAAUAUAAUAUUGAAAUUUAGAUACAAAGUAAAAAACAUUUUGCCACUCACAGGCAGUUAUUUAUAUAUGUUUCUUUUUCUUUUUUUUUUUUUACAAAUGAGGAUCUAUAUUUAAUUAUAAAUGUUUGUCUUCCGGUAGCCAUUUUUAUUGGAAUUGAAAGUAGCGUAGUUUGUAAACUUUGGUAGAUUUUACAUCAUUUUACAAACAAAAUUAGUACGCAUCUAUUUUAUCACAAUAAUUAUUUAAUUAAAAUUUUGUUUAAUACUGAAUAGGGUUGUAACGAUGAUAGAGGAUUCGGGGAAGUAAUUCUGUUUGCAAUGGGCAAUUAGAUGUAUGAGACCGAGUCGUGAAUGAUUACUUUUAAUUUCAUGUGUACAAAGUGAUCACUGCACUGUUAUGUAUGGGCUUGGCGAAAAUUAACUGAUUUUUGCCAUUUGUUGAAGAUGAAAGUGAACAGAGGUACAACAUUUAAGCUUGUGUUCACUCGGUAUAAAUAAAGGUGUAGGAAAAAUCUAAAUGACUCUUUAAUUCAACUUUCAUGGGACUCGUCAAAUUUUCAUGGGACUCGUCAAGUUUUCAUGGGACUCAAGCUGCUUACAAACCAUGAUACCGGGACUAGUCUUCAAUAUUUUCUAGUGACAACCCUGAAUCAUGGCCCCCAAGGGUAGGUUUUGGCCACAUUAUAGGGACAAAAGUUUUACAUACAAGUAUAUGGGAAAUCUUUAAAUAUGGACCAAGAUGACUAAGGUGAGCGAUGUGGCCCAUGGACCUCUUGUUUAGUUAUUUGUUUACAUAAGAAAUAGUGCUUUUUAGCUCACCCCAGCCAUAAUUUAAAUGAACUUUUCAAAGUACUUGCUUUGGAAGUUCAUAUAAGUAUUGCUGAAAUUUAUGUAUAUGUAUGUUAAAUAAAUUUUAUUAUCAGAUUAUCA
Long non-coding RNA from Ostrea edulis (European flat oyster), 2042 nucleotides. RefSeq lists it as uncharacterized. The transcript has 2 exons. The record is from RefSeq and is a predicted model, not a curated record. Lineage: Eukaryota; Metazoa; Mollusca; Bivalvia; Ostreida; Ostreidae.